GAUGAACGCUAGCUACAGGCUUAACACAUGCAAGUCGAGGGGAAACGAUAGAGAAAGCUUGCUUUUUCUAGGCGUCGACCGGCGCACGGGUGAGUAACGCGUAUCCAACCUGCCCACCACUUGGGGAUAACCUUGCGAAAGUAAGACUAAUACCCAAUGACGUCUCUAGAAGACAUCUGAAAGAGAUUUAAAGAUUUAUCGGUGAUGGAUGGGGAUGCGUCUGAUUAGCUUGUUGGCGGGGUAACGGCCCACCAAGGCGACGAUCAGUAGGGGUUCUGAGAGGAAGGUCCCCCCACAUUGGAACUGAGACACGGUCCAAACUCCUACGGGAGGCAGCAGUGAGGAAUAUUGGUCAAUGGACGAGAGUCUGAACCAGCCAAGUAGCGUGCAGGAUGACAGCCCUAUGGGUUGUAAACUGCUUUUAUAAGGGAUAAAGUGAGUCUCGUGUGCCUUUUUGUAUGUACCGUAUGAAUAAGGAUCGGCUAACUCCGUGCCAGCAGCCG
Molecule: ribosomal RNA, 503 nt
Filed under: uncultured bacterium
Lineage: Bacteria
Description: bacterial SSU rRNA
Rfam family: Bacterial small subunit ribosomal RNA
Source: RNAcentral